Molecule: ribosomal RNA, 426 nt
Filed under: uncultured bacterium
Lineage: Bacteria
Description: bacterial SSU rRNA
Rfam family: Bacterial small subunit ribosomal RNA
Source: RNAcentral
GCGAGGAAUAUUGCGCAAUGGAGGAAACUCUGACGCAGUAACGCCGCGUGGGGGAAGAAGACCUUCGGGUUGUAAACCUCUUUUUGUGAAGACGAGUGAGGACGGUAUUCAUAGAAUAAGUCUCGGCUAACUACGUGCCAGCAGCCGCGGUAAGACGUAGGAGGCGAGCGUUAUCCGGAUUUACUGGGCGUAAAGCGCAUGUAGGCGGCUCGUCAAGUCGUGUGUUAAAGCCCCUGGCUCAACUGGGGGAGGUCAUGCGAGACUGGCGGACUUGAGGACAGUAGAGGCACGUGGAACUCCCGGUGUAGCGGUGGAAUGCGUAGAGAUCGGGAAGAACACCCGUGGCGAAGGCGACGUGCUGGGCUGUUACUGACGCUGAGAUGCGAAAGUGUGGGGAGCAAACGGGAUUAGAAACCCCAGUAGUCC